GUAGGUGAACCUGCGGAAGGAUCAUUAACACGAAUUUUAUCCAAUAUCAAACCAAACGUGAACUUUUCCCCUCCCUAUUCAAGUGUUUAUCACUUGUUUAGGCUAAACACUUUUUUACUCUAUAUAUAAUAGUAUUAUACUAUUGUAUAUAUAGUUUUUAACCCCAUCAAUAACUUAACUCUAGUUUGGACGAGGUUUUCCUCUUCAACUACUAACACUAAAAAUAUCAUAUCUCUUAAUUGAGUAUGGUUUUUUUCGAUAUUACGAAAAUUAAGAACAACUCUUAACAAUGGAUAUCUUGGUUCUC
RNAcentral lists this unclassified non-coding RNA (307 nucleotides) under rhizosphere metagenome. RNAcentral describes it as "partial ribosomal RNA internal transcribed spacer region". The record is from RNAcentral.